RNAcentral lists this ribosomal RNA (462 nucleotides) under uncultured bacterium. RNAcentral's name for it is "partial 16S ribosomal RNA". It matches the Rfam family "Bacterial small subunit ribosomal RNA", at positions 29 to 507 of the family's 1533-position model. The record is from RNAcentral.
AUGAACGCUGACAGAGUGCUUAACACAUGCAAGUCUUUGGCGAAGCUGUGCUUGCACAGCCUAGCCAAGGCGGACGGGUGAGUAACGCGUAAGGAACUUGCCCUGCAGUCAGGGAUAACAGACGGAAACGACUGAUAAGACCUGGUAAAGUCAGGCGGACUCAUGUCCAGCCUGAUGAAAAGAGAUGCUGCAGGAGAGCCUUGCGUCCUAUUAGCUUGUUGGUGGGGUAACGGCCCACCAAGGCGAUGAUAGGUAGCCGGCCUGAGAGGGUGGACGGCCACAAGGGGACUGAGAUACGGCCCUUACUCCUACGGGAGGCAGCAGUGGGGAAUAUUGGACAAUGGGGGCAACCCUGAUCCAGCAAUUCUGUGUGCACGAUGAAGGUUUUCGGAUUGUAAAGUGCUUUCAGCAGGGAAGAAAAAAAUGACGGUACCUGCAGAAGAAGCGACGGCUAAAUACGUG